Molecule: transfer-messenger RNA, 399 nt
Filed under: human gut metagenome
Rfam family: transfer-messenger RNA
About the family: Bacterial tmRNA, also known as 10Sa RNA or SsrA, is named for its dual tRNA and mRNA-like properties. Its role is to liberate the mRNA from a stalled ribosome.
Source: RNAcentral
GGGGAUGUUUUGGUUUUGACAGCAUUGAUGCGGGACGGUAAGCACGCCGUGAGUCGGAGGCCCUCACGUAAAUCUCAGUUUCCGAAACAAUUAGUUGGCAACAACUCUUAUGCACUCGCUGCUUAAUUGACCAAGUCAAUUAGCUCAAUCCGGUCCGCCAAGGCUGCGGGCUGGACGAGUAUCCCUCCGGGCUUUAGGCCGGUUAUGUCCGGAAUCAGGGGUAUCAUCCAAACCGGAUGCGCGGGGUAAUGUCUCUGACUCCCCGUCAAGUCGUAGAGAAUAAGCUUCAGGUGGCCCGUCUUCCGGCAGCCUGUCGCCGACAACCAAAGGAAGAAUAAGCGUGUAGAAAGCUGCCUUGUGCGGUGUUUGGACGGCGGUUCGAGUCCGCCCAUCUCCACU